UUGAACGCUGGCGGAAUGCUUUACACAUGCAAGUCGAACGAUGAACCUUAGCUUGCUAAGGGGAUUAGUGGCGAACGGGUGAGUAAUAUAUCGGAACGUGCCUUGUAAUGGGGGAUAACUAGUCGAAAGAUUAGCUAAUACCGCAUACGCCCUGAGGGGGAAAGUAGGGGAUCUUCGGACCUUACGUUAUAAGAGCGGCCGAUAUCUGAUUAGCUAGUUGGUGGGGUAAUGGCCUACCAAGGCGACGAUCAGUAGCUGGUCUGAGAGGACGACCAGCCACACUGGAACUGAGACACGGUCCAGACUCCUACGGGAGGCAGCAGUGGGGAAUUUUGGACAAUGGGCGCAAGCCUGAUCCAGCCAUUCCGCGUGAGUGAAUAAGGCCUUCGGGUUGUAAAGCUCUUUCGCAAGGGAAGAAAACUUACCAUCGAAUAAAUGGUGAGGCUGACGGUACCUUGAUAAGAAGCACCGGCUAACUACGUG
This 483-nucleotide ribosomal RNA is filed under the name uncultured bacterium. RNAcentral's name for it is "partial 16S ribosomal RNA". It matches the Rfam family "Bacterial small subunit ribosomal RNA", at positions 30 to 507 of the family's 1533-position model. The record is from RNAcentral.